This 497-nucleotide ribosomal RNA is filed under the name uncultured bacterium. Its description in RNAcentral is "partial 16S ribosomal RNA". It matches the Rfam family "Bacterial small subunit ribosomal RNA", at positions 28 to 507 of the family's 1533-position model. The record is from RNAcentral.
GACGAACGCUGGCGGCGUGCCUAAUACAUGCAAGUAGAACGCUGAAGAGAGGAGCUUGCUCUUCUUGGAUGAGUUGCGCACGGGUGAGUAACGCGUAGGUAACCUGCCUUGUAGCGGGGGAUAACUAUUGGAAACGGUAGCUAAUACCGCAUAACAAUGGAUGACCCAUGUCAUUUAUUUGAAAGGGGCAAAUGCUCCACUACAAGAUGGACCUGCGUUGUAUUAGCUAGUGGGUGAGGUAACGGCUCACCUAGGCGACGAUACAUAGCCGACCUGAGAGGGUGAUCGGCCACACUGGGACUGAGACACGGCCCAGACGCCUACGGGAGGCAGCAGUAGGGAAGCUUCGGCAAUGGGGGCAACCCUGACCGAGCAACGCCGCGUGAGUGAAGAAGGGUUUCGGAUCGUAAAGCUCUGUUGUAAGUCAAGAACGAGUGUGAGAGUGGAAAGUUCACACUGUGACGGUAGCUUACCAGAAAGGGACGGCUAACUACGUG